RNAcentral lists this small RNA (269 nucleotides) under Arabidopsis thaliana (thale cress). RNAcentral describes it as "ATSL263930". Lineage: Eukaryota; Viridiplantae; Streptophyta; Magnoliopsida; Brassicales; Brassicaceae. The record is from RNAcentral.
GACUUAUUGGACAUUAUAUUGUGGACAUAAUAUUGUGGAUAUAUAGAAAACAAUCAGUAUAAUGAAAAGUUAAAAAUCAGUAAACAAAAAAGAAAACAAACCAAAAACCAUAAAACAUUGUGGAAAAAAUUUUAAAUAAUCAAAAAAAAUCUUCAAUUCAUUGUUUGCAUUAUACACUCACAGAGGUGCAAGUAGAGCUGAACAUUUUGGGAGAAGCAUCAAUAUGAUAGAAGACAAAAUUAUUUGGAAUCCUCUUUUUUAUAUUUUUU